GGCGAACGGGUGAGUAACACGUGGGCAAUCUGCCCUUCACUCUGGGACAAGCCCUGGAAACGGGGUCUAAUACCGGAUACGACGCGCUCGGGCAUCCGAUGUGCGUGGAAAGCUCCGGCGGUGAAGGAUGAGCCCGCGGCCUAUCAGCUUGUUGGUGAGGUAACGGCUCACCAAGGCGACGACGGGUAGCCGGCCUGAGAGGGCGACCGGCCACACUGGGACUGAGACACGGCCCAGACUCCUACGGGAGGCAGCAGUGGGGAAUAUUGCACAAUGGGCGAAAGCCUGAUGCAGCGACGCCGCGUGAGGGAUGACGGCCUUCGGGUUGUAAACCUCUUUCAGCAGGGAAGAAGCGAAAGUGACGGUACCUGCAGAAGAAGCGCCGGCUAACUACGUGCCAGCAGCCGCGGUAAUACGUAGGGCGCGAGCGUUGUCCGGAAUUAUUGGGCGUAAAGAGCUCGUAAGCGGUCUGUCGCGUCGGAUGUGAAAGCCCGGGGCUUAACCCCGGGUCUGCAUUCGAUACGGGCAGACUAGAGUGUGGUA
This 543-nucleotide ribosomal RNA is filed under the name Streptomyces sp. MWW041. RNAcentral's name for it is "bacterial SSU rRNA". It matches the Rfam family "Bacterial small subunit ribosomal RNA", at positions 97 to 653 of the family's 1533-position model. The record is from RNAcentral. Lineage: Bacteria; Bacillati; Actinomycetota; Actinomycetes; Kitasatosporales; Streptomycetaceae.